This 859-nucleotide long non-coding RNA is filed under the name Pongo abelii (Sumatran orangutan). RNAcentral describes it as "lincRNA". The record is from RNAcentral. Lineage: Eukaryota; Metazoa; Chordata; Mammalia; Primates; Hominidae.
UACUGGGCUCAGUCCCAGCACUAUCCAAGUGUGAAGCCAACACCUUUUCACAUCAACUCCAAGUUCCAUGGGCUGACUGGACUCCACUGGGAGUUCUUGAUGUCUCUCGUGUGGUUGUGUGAGAUAGUAGCUGGGACUGGACUCAUCUGAAGGCUUGACUGGGCCGGAUGCCCAAGAUGGCCCACUUUUAGGCAGAGGUGGCUGGCAGUUGAUGCUGACUGUCAGCUGGGAACUCAGCUGAGAGUGUUAACUGGAGUCCCUAGAUGUGGCUUCUCCACAUGGCUUGGGUUUCUCAUGGUAGGGCACCUGGUUUCUGAGAGAGAGCAUCCCAAGAGACACAAGUGGAAAUGAUAAGGCUUCUUAUGACGUAGACUGGAGGUACUGAGACAUCACUUUUGCUACAUUAGAAGUUUUGAUGCUGACAUUUUAUGAUUUCACAACUUGGAUCCUCUGUCCUCUGAUACUGAAUCAGAUAGUAGUUUAUGGAGCUGAGCAGAGAGCCAGCUGGUCCUGGGCACAGAGGAGGCUGCGUUCCAUGCUGAAGACAAGAACAUAUGGUGGACGUACCAUCCUAACUAUCUGGGAAGGGAGCUUCGUGGCUACAUGGGAGUUAUCAUCUACCAGUGCUGGCUACAUCCUGGCUGUGCCCACCUCUGAGCUCUGAAUCUCUGCCCCUCAGUACCCCCAACCCCAACACGAUUGUGAUGUUAGGCAUGUGUUAGGCAUGUGAAGAUGAGAAAGAGAAGAUACAGCUCCCAUGUUUAUCUUCAUGAGAAGAUAAGCCAUAGGGAGAGAGAAAGACUGCUGUGCAUGAGAGGGAGUGUCAAAUGCCAAAUGGGUGUCACAGUCAGGGUGUGCU